RNAcentral lists this ribosomal RNA (475 nucleotides) under uncultured organism. RNAcentral's name for it is "partial 16S ribosomal RNA". It matches the Rfam family "Bacterial small subunit ribosomal RNA", at positions 330 to 801 of the family's 1533-position model. The record is from RNAcentral.
CGUACACUCCUGCGGGAGGCAGCAGUGAGGAAUAUUGGACAAUGGGUGGAAGCCUGAUCCAGCCAUCCCGCGUGCAGGAAGACGGCCCUAUGGGUUGUAAACUGCUUUUAUCUGGGGAUAAACCUACUUACGUGUAAGUAGCUGAAGGUACCAGAAGAAUAAGCACCGGCUAACUCCGUGCCAGCAGCCGCGGUAAUACGGAGGGUGCAAGCGUUAUCCGGAUUUAUUGGGUUUAAAGGGUCCGUAGGCGGACUGAUAAGUCAGUGGUGAAAUCCGACAGCUUAACUGUCGAACUGCCAUUGAUACUGUUAGUCUUGAGUAAGGUUGAAGUGGCUGGAAUAAGUAGUGUAGCGGUGAAAUGCAUAGAUAUUACUUAGAACACCAAUUGCGAAGGCAGGUCACUAAGUCUUAACUGACGCUGAUGGACGAAAGCGUGGGGAGCGAACAGGAUUAGAAACCCGAGUAGUCCCAUGAU